This 216-nucleotide ribosomal RNA is filed under the name Pheidole flavens. RNAcentral's name for it is "partial large subunit ribosomal RNA". Lineage: Eukaryota; Metazoa; Arthropoda; Insecta; Hymenoptera; Formicidae. RNAcentral also lists the same sequence under 1 other name. The record is from RNAcentral.
GAAUUUUAUAUAAUUUUGUUAAAAUUAAUUAAUUUAGAUAAAUAAUAAAUUUAUAUUUUGUUGGGAGGAUAAUUAAAUUAAAUAAACUUUAAUAAUAUAAAAAUCAUUAAUUUAUGAUUAAUAAAAAUGAGUGAUUAUUAUAAUUAAAUAGAAUUAAUUACCUUAGGGAUAACAGCGUAAUAUCUUUAGAGAGAUCUUAUUAAUAAAGAUGUUUGU